CCUACGGGGUGCACCAGGCGCGAAAACUCCGCAAUGCGCGAAAGCGUGACGGGGGAACCCCAAGUGCCGUUGGACUUUUGUUCGACGGCUUUUAUGGAGUCUAGGAAGCUCCAGGAAUAAGGGCUGGGUAAGUCGGGUGCCAGCCGCCGCGGUAAA
This 156-nucleotide ribosomal RNA is filed under the name uncultured archaeon. Its description in RNAcentral is "partial 16S ribosomal RNA". It matches the Rfam family "Archaeal small subunit ribosomal RNA", at positions 322 to 474 of the family's 1478-position model. The record is from RNAcentral.